UGUUGUGCCUGCCCGCACCGCCACAGGCAGCGGUGCUAAAAUGUGGGGGUUACCCCGGAACGCACCGAAGAGUUGCGUGUGGUAGAAAUCACUCAGCUGGGACCGCUUGAUUGGAAAUUAAAGAAAUAUACGAGUUCUCAGUAACAUGUUCUAUUAGACGAAAAACAGUAGGAAAGAAUAUCAAGGGGAAAAAGGAAAUAAAGUGAAAGGACAGUGGCUCGAAAAAUGGAAAUUGCUGUUCAGAACUCCUCUGCCUCCAAUGUAGACAAUUUUCAGAAUGCAGCAUUCCAUAUGAGAGAGACUCAUAUGAGUGCACAUGCAUACCCUGAAGCAGAAUUGCAACAUUUACAUUUGUUUCCUGUCUUAAGCUCUCGCUGGGGACUAAAAAUCAAUGAGAGUCUGCAUUGCACCCCAGAAGUGUCUGCUUUUCACUGACAGUGACUGCAGAAGACCACUGCAGGACUGAUGGGAUGAAAGGGUGCCUGCUGACCCGUGGAAGGCCAGCUUGAAUACCUGAACUUCGCUUCCCAGCUUUGCACAAGUAAGAAGGGAAAUGUAGGUAGGUGUAGAAAACCCCCAGGCAGACAUGAAGUGAGGAAAGUGUUAACUACAAGCAGUUCUUUCUUCAGUGAAUGCAGGUUGGUUUCCACCAGCAGGCUGGAGUCAGUACAUGUGAAAACUUACUAUAAUUCUUGGAGUCUGCAGGCAUCAGCUACACCAAGCUCCAGUCUAACCCUAAUGACUUGGAGAAGUCAUUGCAUACUUUGCAAGGAGCUGGAUCGUGUUUCAAAAGAGACUUUUUUUACAGAAAUUCAGGUUUCAGCAGUGGGACAGCAUGGGUAGAGUAUAACAGUGUUCUUGAACCAAUGGCUCAUUCAAACUGAAUUUCCCUUUUCCACUUUUCCAGAGGCUGCCUUUGACUCUUAAGAGUGAUGGCACAUGAAUUGUAGACUAAAAGGAGACUGUGCCAACCAAGUUUGUAUAGAAAAAUCACUGUUAACAAGAAAUUAGUAAGCUGAUGUAUUAAAGCCUGUUAACUUUUUAAAUGCA
Non-coding RNA from Sturnus vulgaris (Common starling), 1050 nucleotides. The record is from RefSeq and is a predicted model, not a curated record. Lineage: Eukaryota; Metazoa; Chordata; Aves; Passeriformes; Sturnidae.